RNAcentral lists this ribosomal RNA (1352 nucleotides) under uncultured bacterium. RNAcentral's name for it is "bacterial SSU rRNA". It matches the Rfam family "Bacterial small subunit ribosomal RNA", at positions 28 to 1381 of the family's 1533-position model. The record is from RNAcentral.
AUUGAACGCUGGCGGCAUGCCUUACACAUGCAAGUCGAACGGUAACGGGUCCUUCGGGAUGCCGACGAGUGGCGAACGGGUGAGUAAUAUAUCGGAACGUGCCCAGUAGUGGGGGAUAACUGCUCGAAAGAGCAGCUAAUACCGCAUACGACCUGAGGGUGAAAGGGGGGGAUCGCAAGACCUCUCGCUAUUGGAGCGGCCGAUAUCAGAUUAGCUAGUUGGUGGGGCAAAGGCCUACCAAGGCAACGAUCUGUAGUUGGUCUGAGAGGACGACCAGCCACACUGGGACUGAGACACGGCCCAGACUCCUACGGGAGGCAGCAGUGGGGAAUUUUGGACAAUGGGCGCAAGCCUGAUCCAGCAAUGCCGCGUGCAGGAAGAAGGCCUUCGGGUUGUAAACUGCUUUUGUCAGGGAAGAAAUCUUCUGGGCUAAUACCCCGGGAGGAUGACGGUACCUGAAGAAUAAGCACCGGCUAACUACGUGCCAGCAGCCGCGGUAAUACGUAGGGUGCGAGCGUUAAUCGGAAUUACUGGGCGUAAAGCGUGCGCAGGCGGCUUUGCAAGACAGAUGUGAAAUCCCCGGGCUCAACCUGGGAACUGCAUUUGUGACUGCAAGGCUAGAGUACGGCAGAGGGGGAUGGAAUUCCGCGUGUAGCAGUGAAAUGCGUAGAUAUGCGGAGGAACACCAAUGGCGAAGGCAAUCCCCUGGGCCUGUACUGACGCUCAUGCACGAAAGCGUGGGGAGCAAACAGGAUUAGAUACCCUGGUAGUCCACGCCCUAAACGAUGUCAACUGGUUGUUGGACGGCUUGCUGUUCAGUAACGAAGCUAACGCGUGAAGUUGACCGCCUGGGGAGUACGGCCGCAAGGUUGAAACUCAAAGGAGUUGACGGGGACCCGCACAAGCGGUGGAUGAUGUGGUUUAAUUCGAUGCAACGCGAAAAACCUUACCUACCCUUGACAUGUCAAGAGUUCUGCAGAGAUGUGGAAGUGCUCGAAAGAGAACUUGAACACAGGUGCUGCAUGGCCGUCGUCAGCUCGUGUCGUGAGAUGUUGGGUUAAGUCCCGCAACGAGCGCAACCCUUGUCAUUAGUUGCUACGCAAGAGCACUCUAAUGAGACUGCCGGUGACAAACCGGAGGAAGGUGGGGAUGACGUCAGGUCCUCAUGGCCCUUAUGGGUAGGGCUACACACGUCAUACAAUGGCCGGUACAGAGGGCUGCCAACCCGCGAGGGGGAGCCAAUCCCAGAAAACCGGUCGUAGUCCGGAUCGUAGUCUGCAACUCGACUGCGUGAAGUCGGAAUCGCUAGUAAUCGCGGAUCAGCUUGCCGCGGUGAAUACGUUCCCGGGUCU